Molecule: ribosomal RNA, 253 nt
Filed under: uncultured bacterium
Lineage: Bacteria
Description: partial 16S ribosomal RNA
Rfam family: Bacterial small subunit ribosomal RNA
Source: RNAcentral
CACGUAGGGGGCAAGCGUUGUCCGGAAUCAUUGGGCGUAAAGAGCGCGUAGGCGGCCCAGUAAGUCCGCUCUGAAAGUCAGAGGCUCAACCUCUGAAUGCGGGUGGAUACUGCUGGGCUAGAGUCCGGAAGAGGCGAGUGGAAUUCCUGGUGUAGCGGUGAAAUGCGCAGAUAUCGGGAGGAACACCUAUGGCGAAGGCAGCUCGCUGGGACGGCACUGACGCUGAGACGCGAAAGCGUGGGGAGCAAACAGG